This 218-nucleotide long non-coding RNA is filed under the name Elaeis guineensis (African oil palm). RNAcentral's name for it is "long non-coding RNA (EGUI_LNC000396)". Lineage: Eukaryota; Viridiplantae; Streptophyta; Magnoliopsida; Arecales; Arecaceae. The record is from RNAcentral.
CAUGGAUGAUCCAACGAUAGAUCCACAUGAAGGAAAAUAAAUCCUUCGUACACACAAGAACAAGAUACAUCCCGGACCCUAAAAGGCACACCGAUUGUGACAACUUUUACAGCAUUCCCUUACGCUCGCAUGACCCACACCAAGGAAACUCCCAUGCAAGCACCACAUAAUUGUUACGACUUGGCACGUGUGGACCGUUCCCAGUAGGUUACCCUUUU